Long non-coding RNA from Bombus impatiens (common eastern bumble bee), 995 nucleotides. RefSeq lists it as uncharacterized. The transcript is spliced from 2 exons. Lineage: Eukaryota; Metazoa; Arthropoda; Insecta; Hymenoptera; Apidae. The record is from RefSeq and is a predicted model, not a curated record.
CGUUGUGAUGUCGGCCUACCGACGCCUUGCUGUUUUACCGACAUAAGUAAUUUUUUAUCUCUCGCUUCUUCGUAUAUGACAUCCGAGAUCCAGGUAUGCGAACGCGAGCCCCAUUGUCAAUCUUAAUAUCAACAUCCAUCAAGGAGGAGCUGCAUCUUCAUGUAGACGUACAUGAAGCACCUGACGUACAGCGAUGAGCAGGGUAUAAAACGACCUGUAUUACUAGGCCUAACUCAUUCUUUCAUUGUGAAACCUCGUAUGUGUUGCUAUUUUCAUUGCGUUAUCAAUUCUUAGCGUUAGCAUUACCAUUGUUAAUAUAUCUUAUAGCAUAUAAGAUUUGUAAUAAUCAUAUCAGUUUUGGAUUCUUUAUUAUUGAAUAUAAGGAUUUUAAUAUAAGUUCUUGUUAAUAGUUGAAGAUUCUAUUCAGGCGACGAAGUAGAGAGAAAUAGAAAUUAUAAAUUAAGUGCUCGUAAAUUUGAGUUGCAAAGAGGUCCACCGCGUAACUCAGGUGACGGGAGUGAGGAGAUCCGCACGCUGUGGAAGCAAUUCUGUACCUUAGUUUUAAUUAUUACUAAUAGCUCAAUAUUGAAGAUGCAUUACAUCGAUCGUAAGAGUCAGUUGCGGAAACCUGAACUGUGGAAAAGCCAUCCAAAAUAACUGAGGACACUCAUAUCGUCACGCCCGUCGUAGUCCAUCGACGCACACUCGAGUCCCCCCGACCUCAAGGAUUUCUGCAUACACGAUUCGGCAAACGAUAUGAAUCUUAGGCAUCGCCAAGCUAUACUUCAUGCCUAUUAUGGCAUAAAUAAAUAAAUUUUUAUGCUAAAGUCUCGAUUCAAAGAUGUUUUUGUCUUCGAAAACUUCUCGCAUAAAAUUAUCAACAAAAAUCAUAUUUUUCUUGCUUCAUAUAGAGAUCUUCGAAAUUAUCAUUAAAGGUUAGAUGUAUAUACAGAAUAAAUAUACAAUUAAAUACACUAUCAUAAUGAGAAUAAUAA